GCAGCAAGCCUGCUGCUGCUCUGUAUCCUGCUGUGCUACCAGGCCUUUCAUUUCCACGUGGCACAGGCCUACGCACGCCUUGGGUACCCCCACGCCCAGCACAUUGUGGGGCAGAGGUAUCUGCAAGGUAAACUUUGCUGUUGGAUGUUGGAGGACAUCUGUGCAUGUGAAUCUCAAAUGUGGCUCUGCAUGCUGGGUUUGGCCACUGUGUUUUACGUCAUCACUGCUAGUUCACUGUCUUGUUUUUAUCUCAGGUGCUGGAGUGAAAAAAAAUGAGAAGCUGGCCAUGCACUGGUUCAGGCAGGCAGCAGGACAGGGCCACCCACACUCCUCCUUCAACCUGGCACUGGGAGCUCUCAGCAACAUGACGGAGGCACUGGAGGAAAGUGGAAAAACUCCUUGGUGUGGCUGCAGCCCAUGGACUCCGAGAAGCUCAGGAACUUUUGGAGAACAUUCUCAAGAGCAGAAAGUUACCCUGAAUGACUGCACCAGCCUUGUCUUCUUCUGCAACUCUAUUGAAAGCUAAUUACAAGCUGGAGAUCACACCUCAUAUCAAUUCAUCCCCUGAUAUUAAGUUAGAUCCAGAUACUGACCUGGGCUUGAUGCUGUGGUUGUGCUGUAUCUAUUUCAUGCUCUCCUUAUUUUUUGCAACAGAUGAUUGUGAUUAAAGCUUUGUUGUCAUUAAUCAGCAUGACGUGUGUGAGUGAUGUCACCUGUAAUAUAAAUAAUAGUGCUUUAAUAGAAAGUAUUAUCUUAAGAUAAAUAAAAUCUUCAUGCAACAGCUGCCA
RNAcentral lists this long non-coding RNA (788 nucleotides) under Chrysolophus pictus (golden pheasant). Its description in RNAcentral is "lncRNA (ENSCPIG00010005087.1)". The record is from RNAcentral. Lineage: Eukaryota; Metazoa; Chordata; Aves; Galliformes; Phasianidae.